This 74-nucleotide transfer RNA is filed under the name Planctomycetota bacterium. RNAcentral describes it as "tRNA-Arg". It matches the Rfam family "tRNA". Rfam says of the family: Transfer RNA (tRNA) molecules are approximately 80 nucleotides in length. Their secondary structure includes four short double-helical elements and three loops (D, anti-codon, and T loops). Further hydrogen bonds mediate the characteristic L-shaped molecular structure. tRNAs have two regions of fundamental functional importance: the anti-codon, which is responsible for specific mRNA codon recognition, and the 3' end, to which the tRNAs corresponding amino acid is attached (by aminoacyl-tRNA synthetases). tRNAs cope with the degeneracy of the genetic code in two manners: having more than one tRNA (with a specific anti-codon) for a particular amino acid; and 'wobble' base-pairing, i.e. permitting non-standard base-pairing at the 3rd anti-codon position. The record is from RNAcentral. Lineage: Bacteria; Pseudomonadati; Planctomycetota.
ACGCCGGUAGCUCAGUUGGAUAGAGCACGAGAUUUCUAAUCUCGCGGUCGCAGGUUCGAGUCCUGCCCGGCGUA